Pelobates cultripes (western spadefoot toad) is the source of this 601-nucleotide non-coding RNA. The record is from the annotation of a GenBank genome assembly. Lineage: Eukaryota; Metazoa; Chordata; Amphibia; Anura; Pelobatidae.
GAAUUCUUGGGAGCUACACGAACGUCUGGACUACCUGAGGAGUAUAAUAACGUGAAGAUCUUCCCAGACUUUUCAACCUACACUAAGAAGAAACAUAGGGAGUUCCAACCCUUCACAUCCAAACUUCGUUGCAGGAAUAUCAGGUUGGGUUUCUCAAUCAAAGUGCUGUUUUGGAUGGAUGACCAAAACUGCAUCAUCACCUCUCCAGAAGGAGGUAUGGAACUCAGACCCAUACUUUAUCCCCAUCUAUGCCUGCACCUUACAGAAUGAGGAGCAAGCAUGAUUCUUAUGAUGAACCAUGAUCCCUGAAUCCCGUCUGCUGUUCCUGGUUUCUAAUUCAAGUAGGCGUCCCUUUCUUUGGUCCUGGUUCUUCACUUUUUUUCUUCUUCUUCUGAGGUUCCAGAAUGCUGCUUCCUGAUGUCCGGCUGAGGAGUUUUGCAUAUAUUCUGCUCGUAUGAUUAUUUCUGUUUUUUGGAUUUACUACGAUGAUUCACUCUUUGGAUACUGCUUCCUGUCUCCGGACUCUGUCCCUAGUUUGUUUUUACCACAAACUAUAACUUUUUCUGACUUUAAUUUUUUCUUUUGUCUUUGAGACCUUCCC